UUUCCGUAGGUGAACCUGCGGAAGGAUCAUUCAUAAAGGACAUGCUGGAAUCGAGACAACUCUUCCAAGUCAUUUUUCCUUUUUCGUGCACAUUCUUAACUACUUUUUUUUAUUCAACCCAAACACACAAAAACACAACUAAACAAACAAAUUUUACAAAACUCGUGGCGGUGGAUGUCUAGGUUCCGGUAACGAUGAAGAACGCAGCGAAAUGCGAUACGUAAUGCGAAUUGCAGAAUCCGUGAAUCAUCAAAUUUUUGAACGCAAGUGGCGCUCGUGGGCAAUCCUGCGAGCAUGUCUGUUUGAGUGUCCAUCGUGAAAACAUUUUGUUCCUUUUGAACGGCUGAGAGGCCUGUUUGGGGAGCUGCUGUUGGGUGCUGAGUCCUUGCCGCUGGCGGGGUCACCUGAAGAAUAGAGUGUCGGGGGGGGGUUUGCGUCUUAUGGCGAAGCCGGUCUGUUUCUUGAAUAAAGAUAAUAUUGGGCUCCCACAGCGUUGUGAAGUAAUGUGAAAGUUACGGGAAGCAAGGUUGUUGGGGGUUUGGUACCAGGAAUGGGCAGGCCCGUUUUGCUUGGGAUUGCGGCUGGCUCACUGGUCUUGAACUAAUCUAACGAUUGCAACACACAUAUUUGGAUCUCAAAUCAGACAARACGACCCGCUGAAUUUAAG
Molecule: ribosomal RNA, 667 nt
Rfam family: 5.8S ribosomal RNA (bases 160-312)